UACAGGGGGGGCAAGCGUUGUUCGGAAUUACUGGGCGUAAAGGGUUCGUAGGUGGCCACUUAAGUCAGACGUGAAAUCCCUCAGCUUAACUGGGGAACUGCGUCUGAUACCGAGUGGCUUGAGUGCAGGAGAGGAAUGCGGAAUUCCAGGUGUAGCGGUGAAACGCGUAGAUAUCUGGAGGAACACCGGUGGCGAAGGCGGCAUUCUGGACUGUAACUGACACUGAGGAACGAAAGCCAGGGGAGCAAACGGG
This 253-nucleotide ribosomal RNA is filed under the name uncultured bacterium. RNAcentral describes it as "partial 16S ribosomal RNA". It matches the Rfam family "Bacterial small subunit ribosomal RNA", at positions 524 to 776 of the family's 1533-position model. The record is from RNAcentral.